CCCAUUCUGACGGAAGCACUUCAAAGCCUGUCUCUGCCAGGUACAUCCAUCAUGAAAUGUCAUGGUGGUCAGUUUGGUCCUCCAGCACUGACUGUAGGUCCCCACACAUUCUUCACGGUGCCAGCUCAGCAUCAGGCCCACCAGACCCCUGACCAAAAUCAGGCCCGCAGGCCCACACCAGUGCUCUCCCUCCCUCCUGGGACCAGCUAUCCUGAUGAAAUGUUUGAGGAAACAAGGCUCCUACCCUCUGCUAUGGAGGCACUGCGGGAAGACACUGGGAACCCCUUCGUUGUCUACCUGAACAGUGGCCGGCCUGUGGCAUACAUCACUGGGAUGUGGUGUCAGCGACUGGGGAUGGAGAGCGCACAUGUUGCUGCAUGAUUACAAUUGCCGACUCGAAGAGGCAUUAAAGCCAGGAAAUGAAAAAGAGAUGAACCAUAUUACUUUACCCUCGGGACCCUGGACAGUCUGUUUAUAUGGUCGCCAGGAGGCAACCCUGUGGAAGGGCUCCAGCGUUCGGCAUGACCUAACCUGCGGGUCUGUUUUCUUGUCUGGAAUCUUCUCUUUGGGGAUGGGGGUGGGGGUGCUGAGUGCUGUCUGAUACUAAAUAUUUCCAGUCAGGGAAAUCCUAACCUCCCUUCAAUGCUCCUGAGCAAAUUCUGAGUCCAGCUCCACCCUGUUUCAUUCCGCU
This 691-nucleotide long non-coding RNA is filed under the name Mus spicilegus (steppe mouse). RNAcentral describes it as "lncRNA (ENSMSIG00000020495.1)". The record is from RNAcentral. Lineage: Eukaryota; Metazoa; Chordata; Mammalia; Rodentia; Muridae.